CCUACGGGCGGCAGCAGUGGGGAAUAUUGGACAAUGGGCGAAAGCCUGAUCCAGCCAUGCCGCGUGUGUGAAGAAGGCCUUCGGGUUGUAAAGCACUUUCAGUGGGGAAGAAAGCCUUGGGGCUAAUACCCUCGAGGAAGGACAUCACCCACAGAAGAAGUACCGGCUAACUCCGUGCCAGCAGCCGCGGUAAUACGGAGGGUGCGAGCGUUAAUCGGAAUUACUGGGCGUAAAGCGCGCGUAGGCGGUCUGAUAAGCCGGUUGUGAAAGCCCCGGGCUCAACCUGGGAACGGCAUCCGGAACUGUCAGGCUAGAGUGCAGGAGAGGAAGGUAGAAUUCCCGGUGUAGCGGUGAAAUGCGUAGAGAUCGGGAGGAAUACCAGUGGCGAAGGCGGCCUUCUGGACUGACACUGACGCUGAGGUGCGAAAGCGUGGGUAGCAAACAGGAUUAGAUACCCCGGUAGUC
RNAcentral lists this ribosomal RNA (465 nucleotides) under Vreelandella stevensii. Its description in RNAcentral is "partial 16S ribosomal RNA". It matches the Rfam family "Bacterial small subunit ribosomal RNA", at positions 338 to 795 of the family's 1533-position model. The record is from RNAcentral. Lineage: Bacteria; Pseudomonadati; Pseudomonadota; Gammaproteobacteria; Oceanospirillales; Halomonadaceae.